GGUUAAGGCCACACCCCCUGCUCAGGACUCUGGCAUACCGACUUAUACUGCACAACAGAGGUGGAAGGCAGCUGUUGCUGUACUGGGGAUACUUGCAUGAUCAGAGCCCCAACAUAAAGAGCCAUAAGCAUUUUACCCUCAGUGGUCAAGGAAGGCUACCAGACCAAGAACUAAGAACUGUAGAAAGUGACCAGCCUGCCUUGGGGUGGGGAGUCACUCUCACCCAAUCCAAGAACUGACAUGGCACUGUAAACAAGAGGGGCAGACCCUGCUGAAAAGUUCUGAAGAAUUUUGAAACCUCACAGGGUCUCUGUGUGGAAGGUGCCAGAAGAGGGGUGAUUGAGAGCACAAGAGCGAGCCUCCCUGCUCUCAGUUCUGGUGCCUGGCCCCACCAUGAGGGCCAGGAGGAAUAACAACAGGAAAAGUCCUGCUCAGUCCCUGCAGCCCUCGGAUGGAGCAUGUUCAGUGCAGAAGGCAUAUUUGGAGAAUUCAGUACCCAGCUUUUAACAAUCCUUAUUCAAACUGCAAUUUUCAGAAGCUAAUAACUCUGACAAGACUGUGUGGAUUUUCACAAGGUCAGCAAAAAGCACCUCUCUGAUCCCAGGCCUCUCUACCUUCUUCCCAGGCCCAAACUUUAAAUCCUUGUUCCUAAGCAUAAAAGGUGCUGGAACUCAUUAAUAAAACUGUUGUUAAAAAAAUGUGAACAUGGCAAAACAACUUAUUUUCUUCUAACCUCUUGUAUCACGAUCACUGGAACUAGAAUCAGACAUCCCGUGUUCCCUGGAGGGAUUAUUGGUGAUGAAACACUGGUGGAACAGGGAACGUGGGUAGUUAGGCUGAAAGAACUCAGCCACGUGGACAGAGCAGGCCACAGAGUUUAAUAAUGUUUCACUUGUUCAACUUAAACUGUGUUCACCUUCACGCUUCGUGAAUGAAACACGUCUCCCAGCUGAAUAGUUGGGUGGUUUUUGAACAGCUGAAUAGUUUUUGCUGAAACUUACCAAAAAAAAAAAAAAAAAAUCAAUCUGAGACAGAUAUCCAGCAAGGACAAUUUCAGCCCCAAAGUCUGCCAAA
This is a long non-coding RNA of Chelonia mydas (Green sea turtle), 1074 nucleotides long. RefSeq lists it as uncharacterized. The transcript is spliced from 4 exons. Lineage: Eukaryota; Metazoa; Chordata; Testudines; Cheloniidae. The record is from RefSeq and is a predicted model, not a curated record.